This 163-nucleotide ribosomal RNA is filed under the name uncultured bacterium. RNAcentral's name for it is "partial 16S rRNA". It matches the Rfam family "Bacterial small subunit ribosomal RNA", at positions 355 to 511 of the family's 1533-position model. The record is from RNAcentral.
UAGGGAAUCUUCCACAAUGGGCGAAAGCCUGAUGGAGCAACGCCGCGUGUGUGAUGAAGGGUUUCGGCUCGUAAAACACUGUUGUAAGAGAAGAAUGACAUUGAGAGUAACUGUUCAGUGUGUGACGGUAUCUACCAGAAAGGAACGGCUAAAUACGUGCCAG